UUUUCUUUUUCUUCCUCCUGCUCUCCUCUCUGCUCUGGAGCCGCCAUGUGAUCCUGGCAAGAGAAGACGCCUGCUGCCAGCGUCUCCAUAGAUAAGUCUUUAUAUUAAUAGUUAUGGUUGAUAAUUAAGACUGAGCUAGCAUUUAAGAAAUCCUAGUCAAUUGGCCAACAGCAUUGUAAACUAAUAUAAGAUUCUGUGUGUUAUUCUGGGCGCCCAUGUGGCGGCGGGGUUUGGGCAGAUGGAGGAAAGACUUAUCGUUACAGCUUCCUUUUUGGCAGUGGAAUGACAUUAACACAGAGAACCACAAUGAUCAAAACAAACAUGCCCAAAUGGGACAUCUGUAUCAGAUCACUUCUCCCUAAGACUCAGAGAACAUCUUGUAAGGGAGGUGGAGAAGACCCAGGAGGACAACUGUGAAACAUGUCUCCUGGACAUGAGAAAGAUGUUGUUCCCAUGAAGUAAUGAUAUGGCUGUUUGCACAUGCUCUACACAAGACCACACUGAUCAGCGUUCCAGAAUGGAUGAAAGAAGGGCUCUCUGGUCCCUGCUCUGCUUGAAGAAGCUGCUGAAGGAAGGAGAGUCCACCAGUUCCCAUCAGGGUCAGGACUCUGCUCACAGGCCAAGGCCAGAUCCCCAGGCUCCUGUGAAACUGCAGAAACUGAAUUCACUGCAGAACAGUGGCUUUUGAAGCUGCACCUCCAGGAAGUAAG
RNAcentral lists this long non-coding RNA (710 nucleotides) under Cricetulus griseus (Chinese hamster). RNAcentral describes it as "lncRNA (ENSCGRG00015038428.1)". The record is from RNAcentral. Lineage: Eukaryota; Metazoa; Chordata; Mammalia; Rodentia; Cricetidae.